CCUAAAAUUCCCAUGGCAAACUGCUCAGUAACACAUGAUCAACUUACCCUAUAGAGAAAAAUAACCUCGGGAAACUGAGGAUAAUACUUCAUAGUUGAAUCGGCUUGGAAAAGUUUUUCAAUAAAAGGGAUAAGAAAAAUGGUUCUUAUCUGCUAUAGGAUAGGAUCGUGGACGAUUAUGGUUGUUGGUGAGAUAACGGCUCACCAAGCCGAUAAUCGAUAGGGGCCGUGAGAGCGGGAGCCCCGAGAUGGGUACUGAGACAACGACCCAGGCCUUACGAGGCGCAGCAGGCGCGGAACCUCCGCAAUACACGGAAGUGUGACGGGGUUACCCAAAGUGUUCAAUUCUGAACUGUGGUAGGUGAGUAAUGUUCCCUACUAGAAAGGAGAGGGCAAGGCUGGUGCCAGCCGCCGCGGUAAAACCAGCUCUUCAAGUGGUCGGGAUAAUUAUUGGGCUUAAAGUGUCCGUAGCCGGUUUAGUAAGUUCCUGGUAAAAUCGGGUAGCUUAACUAUCCGUAUGCUAGGAAUACUGCUAUACUAGAGGGCGGGAGAGGUCUGAGGUACUACAGGGGUAGGGGUGAAAUCUUAUAAUCCUUGUAGGACCACCAGUGGCGAAGGCGUCAGACUGGAACGCGCCUGACGGUGAGGGACGAAAGCCAGGGGAGCGAACCGGAUUAGAUACCCGGGUAGUCCUGGCCGUAAACGACGCAUACUAGGUGAUGGUACGGCCAUGAGCCGUAUCAGUGCCGUAGGGAAACCGUUAAGUGUGCCGCCUGGGAAGUACGGUCGCAAGGCUAAAACUUAAAGGAAUUGGCGGGGGAGCACCACAAGGGGUGAAGCCUGCGGUUCAAUUGGA
This 855-nucleotide ribosomal RNA is filed under the name uncultured archaeon. RNAcentral's name for it is "bacterial SSU rRNA". It matches the Rfam family "Archaeal small subunit ribosomal RNA", at positions 67 to 910 of the family's 1478-position model. The record is from RNAcentral.